GAGAAAUCUUUUGGCAUUCUGUCCACCUCCAUAACUUAGCCAUUCUCAUUUCAGAUGUAGAAUGAUAAAUAAAUGAAGAACAGGAGGUGGAUAGUUUGCCAACAGAGCUCU
RNAcentral lists this microRNA precursor (111 nucleotides) under Asparagus officinalis (garden asparagus). Its description in RNAcentral is "miR394 stem-loop (aof-MIR394)". Its record names the gene aof-MIR394. Lineage: Eukaryota; Viridiplantae; Streptophyta; Magnoliopsida; Asparagales; Asparagaceae. The record is from miRBase by way of RNAcentral.